This 301-nucleotide ribosomal RNA is filed under the name uncultured bacterium. RNAcentral's name for it is "partial 16S ribosomal RNA". It matches the Rfam family "Bacterial small subunit ribosomal RNA", at positions 509 to 807 of the family's 1533-position model. The record is from RNAcentral.
CAGUAGCCGCGGGAACACGAAGGGGGCUAGCGUUGUUCGGAAUUACUGGGCGUAAAGGGAGCGUAGGCGGACAUUUAAGUCAGGGGUGAAAUCCCAGGGCUCAACUCUGGAACUGCCUUUGAUACUGGGUGUCUUGAGUGUGAUAGAGGUAUGUGGAACUCCGAGUGUAGAGGUGAAAUUCGUAGAUAUUCGGAAGAACACCAGUGGCGAAGGCGACAUACUGGAUCAUUACUGACGCUGAGGCUCGAAAGCGUGGGGAGCAAACAGGAUUAGAUACCCGCGUAGUCCCUGUCUCUUAUAC